CGCGGGGUGGAGCAGUCCGGUAGCUCGUUGGGCUCAUAACCCAAAGGUCAUAGGUUCAAAUCCUAUCCCCGCAA
RNAcentral lists this transfer RNA (74 nucleotides) under Eubacteriales bacterium. RNAcentral describes it as "tRNA-Met". It matches the Rfam family "tRNA". Rfam says of the family: Transfer RNA (tRNA) molecules are approximately 80 nucleotides in length. Their secondary structure includes four short double-helical elements and three loops (D, anti-codon, and T loops). Lineage: Bacteria; Bacillati; Bacillota; Clostridia; Eubacteriales. The record is from RNAcentral.